AAAACGAUAAUUAAAAUUUAUAUAUUAAAUAUAUUUAAUUAUAACAUAAAUUCAUUAUGAUAUGGAAACUUGGAAGCCACGAUAUACAUCCAAAAUUAAAAGAAAAUGAAAAGAUUAUAAUUAUAUUUCCGCCUUUUUUGUAUUAUUUUCAAAAAUUUAAAGAACAAAGACAUAAUUUCAAGAUACAUGAAAUUACAACACGAUUUAAAUAUAUAAAAUUUAUAAAAUUAUAAUUAUUCAUCAUAAGCUAUAUUGUUUAUAUUUUUUGAUAUUUCAAAAAAUAUUAUUUAGGAUUACUUUUUGAGAAUGGACUUAAAAAUGAUUUAUCAUAUCCUCUGAUAAACCUCUACAAAGUUUGUGCAUAUUUUGUUAAUGCAUUUAAAAAUUGUUCCAGAAAUUAUUCUCUGCUCGUUAGAACUCAUCAAUGAGGAUGGACAAUUUUCAUCAGUUUCACAUGGUUGCCCCUCUUAGUGAAAAAUAGAAUAAAAUUUUUUAGUGAAACAUGAAGAAAGAUAUUGUAAGAAUUAUAACAUAAAAUAAAUAAUAAUUAAGAAGCAAAAAUGAUUUACCGCAAUCCCCGGAUGAAAGAAGGAAUAGGGAAAAAAAUAAAAUUAUAGCAUAAAUAAAUUUGAGAACUUUUGUCAUUUUUUCUCUCUUUCUUGUUAGAAGUAAAAAGAGAGUUGAUCAAUUUAUA
This 694-nucleotide long non-coding RNA is filed under the name Lathyrus oleraceus (garden pea). Its description in RNAcentral is "Pisum sativum (pea) long non-coding RNA (PSAT_LNC021899)". Lineage: Eukaryota; Viridiplantae; Streptophyta; Magnoliopsida; Fabales; Fabaceae. The record is from RNAcentral.